This 350-nucleotide unclassified non-coding RNA is filed under the name uncultured fungus. RNAcentral describes it as "partial contains 5.8S ribosomal RNA and internal transcribed spacer 2". The stretch from base 1 to 133 matches the Rfam family "5.8S ribosomal RNA", at positions 22 to 154 of the family's 154-position model. Lineage: Eukaryota; Fungi. The record is from RNAcentral.
UGGUUCUCGCAUCGAUGAAGAACGCAGCGAAUUGCGAUAAGUAAUAUGAAUUGCAGAUUUUCGUGAAUCAUCGAAUCUUUGAACGCACAUUGCGCCCCUUGGUAUUCCAAGGGGCAUGCCUGUUUGAGCGUCAUUUCUCUCUCAAACCUUCGGGUUUGGUUUUGAGUGAUACUCUUAGUCAGACUAGGUGUUUGCUUGAAAAGUAUUGGCAGGAGCGGUGCAAUACAGCGCACUCGACAAUCAAUGUAUUAGGUUUAUCCAUCAUUGAAGUCUUGGAAACUGUUUGUUCAGGCCCAGCCUUACAAAAACAAACCAUGUUUGACCUCAAAUCAGGUAGGACUACCCGCUGA